This 348-nucleotide ribosomal RNA is filed under the name Triticum aestivum (bread wheat). Its description in RNAcentral is "partial small subunit ribosomal RNA". The record is from RNAcentral. Lineage: Eukaryota; Viridiplantae; Streptophyta; Magnoliopsida; Poales; Poaceae.
UUCAUAGGAGGAGACCUCAAUGGCCACGUAGGUACAUCUAACACAGGUUUUGAAGGGGCGCAUGGGGGCUUUGGCUAUGGCAUCAGGAAUCAAGAAGGAGAAGAUGUCUUAAGCUUUGCUCUAGCCUACAACAUGAUUGUAGCUAACACCCUCUUUAGAAAGACAGAAUCACAUCUGGUGACUUUUAGUAGUGGCCAACACUCUAGCCAGAUUGAUUUCAUCCUCUCGAGAAGAGAAGAUAGGCGUGCGUGCCUAGACUGUAAGGUGAUACCUGGGGAGAGUGUUGUACCCCAGCAUAAGCUGGUGGUUGCUGACUUCCGCUUUUCGGAUUCGUGUCCAGCGGGAUAA